This 237-nucleotide ribosomal RNA is filed under the name uncultured Lactobacillus sp. RNAcentral describes it as "partial 16S ribosomal RNA". It matches the Rfam family "Bacterial small subunit ribosomal RNA", at positions 125 to 355 of the family's 1533-position model. The record is from RNAcentral. Lineage: Bacteria; Bacillati; Bacillota; Bacilli; Lactobacillales; Lactobacillaceae.
CCUGCCCAAGAGAUCGGGAUAACACCUGGAAACAGAUGCUAAUACCGGAUAACAACAGAUGAUGCCUAUCAACUGUUUAAAAGAUGGUUCUGCUAUCACUCUUGGAUUGACCUGCGGUGCAUUAGCUAGUUGGUAGGGUAACGGCCUACCAAGGCGAUGAUGCAUAGCCGAGUUGAGAGACUGAUCGGCCACAUUGGGACUGAGACACGGCCCAAACUCCUACGGGAGGCAGCAGCC